Long non-coding RNA from Bradysia coprophila, 357 nucleotides. NCBI's taxonomy places the organism in Eukaryota, Metazoa, Arthropoda, Insecta, Diptera, Sciaridae. The record is from RefSeq and is a predicted model, not a curated record.
GCUUCAUAUAUUUCAACGUAAGGUACAAUCAUCAUAAUUUUCUUCAGAAACCAGUUUAUCGCAAUUCUGAAACUACUAAUUAAUACCUCAUAUUACGUUUACCGAUUGAAUACAAUUUCACAAUGGCAAAAUAAAAAUCAUUAUCAAUCGUAAAGUUAACGAUUGCUGAUAAAAUGUGCAGGUGUUUGAUUACGCUGACUUUGGGAAAACUUCAUGGCAUCUCGUCAAAGUCAAAAAGAGAUAUGUUUACUUUGUCAUAGCUUGGUUGAAAAAAAGGGUUUCAAUUUAAUUGUUGAUGGCAUGUCAUUGGAAUAAGUGAAGUUGUGGUAGCGCUAAUCGUUGUCCUAGUUUUAUACA